Molecule: ribosomal RNA, 242 nt
Filed under: uncultured bacterium
Lineage: Bacteria
Description: partial 16S ribosomal RNA
Rfam family: Bacterial small subunit ribosomal RNA
Source: RNAcentral
UACGUAGGGUGCGAGCGUUAAUCGGAAUUACUGGGCGUAAAGCGUGCGCAGGCGGUGAUGUAAGACAGGUGUGAAAUCCCCGGGCUUAACCUGGGAACUGCAUUUGUGACUGCAUUGCUGGAGUGCGGCAGAGGGGGAUGGAAUUCCGCGUGUAGCAGUGAAAUGCGUAGAUAUGCGGAGGAACACCGGUGGCGAAGGCGGCCUGCUGGGUUCUGGCUGACACUGAGGCGCGACAGCGUGGG